Molecule: long non-coding RNA, 225 nt
Filed under: Lathyrus oleraceus (garden pea)
Lineage: Eukaryota; Viridiplantae; Streptophyta; Magnoliopsida; Fabales; Fabaceae
Description: Pisum sativum (pea) long non-coding RNA (PSAT_LNC005368)
Source: RNAcentral
GGUAAAUGGCCUCGCUUUCUUUGAUAUCGGUAAAUAUCAAAUUUGUUUUGAAGCCGCCAUCGAUAAAUGGCCCCGCUUUCCUUGAUUCAUCACCUGCAGAGUGCAAAUUCUCCGGUUCUUUUGGUAUUCAAUCCCUAUUUACCUUGAAAGUCUGAUAGCUGCUGCUUUCAUCCGUCCAGGUUCACAGUCGAUUGAAUAGGGGCAACUGUAGCACCUCAAAUUUCC